CAGUCGCCACGGGAAAACGAAGGCCCCGAGCGUUGUUCGGAAUCACUGGGCGUAAAGGGAGCGUAGGCGGCGUGGUAAGUCAGAUGUGAAAUCCCGGGGCUCAACUCCGGAACUGCAUCCGAUACUGCCAUGCUAGAGGAUUGGAGAGGUAGCUGGAAUUCUUGGUGUAGCAGUGAAAUGCGUGGAGAUCAAGAGGAACACUCGUGGCGAAAGCGAGCUGCUGGACAAUAACUGACGCUGAGGCUCGAAGGCCAGGGUAGCGAAAGGGAUUAGAUACCCCGGUAGUCCCUGUCUCUUAUAC
This 301-nucleotide ribosomal RNA is filed under the name uncultured bacterium. RNAcentral describes it as "partial 16S ribosomal RNA". It matches the Rfam family "Bacterial small subunit ribosomal RNA", at positions 509 to 807 of the family's 1533-position model. The record is from RNAcentral.